UACGAGGGGGGCAAGCGUUGUUCGGAAUUAUUGGGCGUAAAGGGCGCGUAGGCGGUGCGGUAAGUCACCUGUGAAAACUCUGGGCUCAACUCAGAGCCUGCAGGCGAAACUGCCGUGCUUGAGUGUGGGAGAGGUGCGUGGAAUUCCCGGUGUAGCGGUGAAAUGCGUAGAUAUUGGGAAGAACACCGGUGGCGAAGGCGCUCUACUGGGCCAUAACUGACACUGAUGGACGAAAGCUAGGGGAGCGAAAGGG
This 253-nucleotide ribosomal RNA is filed under the name uncultured bacterium. Its description in RNAcentral is "partial 16S ribosomal RNA". It matches the Rfam family "Bacterial small subunit ribosomal RNA", at positions 524 to 776 of the family's 1533-position model. The record is from RNAcentral.